This 352-nucleotide long non-coding RNA is filed under the name Medicago truncatula (barrel medic). Its description in RNAcentral is "lncRNA gene45778". The stretch from base 1 to 164 matches the Rfam family "U1 spliceosomal RNA". The record is from RNAcentral. Lineage: Eukaryota; Viridiplantae; Streptophyta; Magnoliopsida; Fabales; Fabaceae.
AUACUUACCUGGAUGGGGUCAAUGGACGAUCAUGAAGGUCUAUGGCCUAGGUUGGUGACCUCCAUUGCACUUUGGAGGGGUGUCUGCCUAAGGUGUUCUCAAGUAGAACAGCAGCCUACAUUAUAAUUUGUUGCUGUGGGGGCCUGCGUUCGCGUGGCCCCCCUUCUGCUAGAGAUUUUUUUAUUUUUAUCUUGUAGCUUCGCUUUCCUCCAUAAUUAAAAGAUAGAAAAUCCUAUUAUAAUGUGGUAAAGAUAGAAAAUCCUUCCAUUAAUAAAUUAGAUAAACAUACUUAGUUAAAUAUAACUUUAUUUUUACAACAAAUAUCAUAGACAUGGAUGCUCAUGUAACAUUA